Molecule: non-coding RNA, 92 nt
Filed under: Tatumella ptyseos
Lineage: Bacteria; Pseudomonadati; Pseudomonadota; Gammaproteobacteria; Enterobacterales; Erwiniaceae
Also listed under: 1 other name
Description: TPP sequence
Rfam family: TPP riboswitch aptamer (THI element)
About the family: Vitamin B(1) in its active form thiamin pyrophosphate (TPP) is an essential coenzyme that is synthesised by coupling of pyrimidine and thiazole moieties in bacteria. The previously detected thiamin-regulatory element, thi box was extended, resulting in a new, highly conserved RNA secondary structure, the THI element, which is widely distributed in eubacteria and also occurs in some archaea. Analysis of operon structures identified a large number of new candidate thiamin-regulated genes, mostly transporters, in various prokaryotic organisms.
Source: RNAcentral
CCGUUCUCAACGGGGUGCAUGUGAAUGCUGAGAGAUACCCGUCGAACCUGAUCCGGUUAAUACCGGCGUAGGGAUUUGAGAGUCAGCCCCCU